GCGUCGGUAGGGCAACGGUUAGUUUACGCUCCCGGAAAGAGUGAGAUGUGGGUUCGAAUCCCGGCCGACGCA
Non-coding RNA from Parelaphostrongylus tenuis, 72 nucleotides. NCBI's taxonomy places the organism in Eukaryota, Metazoa, Nematoda, Chromadorea, Rhabditida, Metastrongylidae. The record is from the annotation of a GenBank genome assembly.